AACGAACGCUGGCGGCAGGCCUAACACAUGCAAGUCGAGCGAGGACUUCGGUCCUGGCGGCGGACGGGGGAGGAACGCGUGGGAACGUGCCCUUUGCUGCGGAAUAGCCCUGGGAAACUGGGAGUAAUACCGGAGGAGCCCUUUGGGGGAAAGAUUUAUCGGCGAAGGAUCGGCCCGCGUUGGAUGAGGUAGUUGGUGGGGUAAUGGCCUACCACGCCGACGAUGCAUAGCUGGUUUGAGAGGAUGGUCAGCCACACUGGGACUGAGACACGGCCCAGACUCCUACGGGAGGCAGCAGUGGGGAAUCUUAGACAAUGGGGUAAACCGUGAGCUGGCCAUGCUGCGUGAGCGAUGCAGGCCUUAGGGUUGUAAAGCUCGUUCAGCUGGUAAGAUAAUGCCGGUACCAGCAGAAGAAGCCCCGGCUAACUCCGUG
This 433-nucleotide ribosomal RNA is filed under the name uncultured bacterium. RNAcentral describes it as "partial 16S ribosomal RNA". It matches the Rfam family "Bacterial small subunit ribosomal RNA", at positions 28 to 507 of the family's 1533-position model. The record is from RNAcentral.